RNAcentral lists this unclassified non-coding RNA (680 nucleotides) under uncultured fungus. RNAcentral's name for it is "sequence contains ITS1, 5.8S rRNA gene and ITS2". The stretch from base 234 to 387 matches the Rfam family "5.8S ribosomal RNA". The record is from RNAcentral. Lineage: Eukaryota; Fungi.
CUUGGUCAUUUAGAGGAAGUAAAAGCCGUAACAAGGUUUCCGUAGGUGAACCUGCGGAAGGAUCAUUAGUGAAUUAAACAUGCUUGGUGUCUUCGCUUCGGCAAGGCCCUUGCUUAACUCACAUCCCAACACCUGUGAACUGUAAGGCGCAUGACUAGGUUCGCCCAAGUCAUCGUCUGCCCUUUUUAACAAACAAUUAAUGUAACAAACGUAGUCUUAUUAUAACCUAAUAAAACUUUCAACAACGGAUCUCUUGGCUCUCGCAUCGAUGAAGAACGCAGCGAAAUGCGAUAAGUAAUGUGAAUUGCAGAAUUCAGUGAAUCAUCGAAUCUUUGAACGCACCUUGCGCUCUUUGGUAUUCCGAAGAGCAUGCCUGUUUGAGUGUCAUGAAAAUAUCAACCUUGACUUGGGUUUUGUGCUCUAGUCUCGGCUUGGAAUUGGGUGCUUGCCGCUUUUACGAGCGGCUCACCUUAAAUGUAUUAGCUGGAUCUGUCUUUGAGACUUGGUUUGACUUGGCGUAAUAAGUAUUUCGCUAAGGACAUUCUUCGGAGUGGCCUCGUUUCUAGGACGCUUGUCCGCUUUCCAAUACAAGUUCCACCUCGUGGACAUGACUUUUUAUUAUCUGGCCUCAAAUCAGGUAGGACUACCCGCUGAACUUAAGCAUAUCAAUAAGCGGAGGA